GUGGGGAAUCUUGCGCAAUGGGCGAAAGCCUGACGCAGCCAUGCCGCGUGAAUGAUGAAGGUCUUAGGAUUGUAAAAUUCUUUCACCGGGGACGAUAAUGACGGUACCCGGAGAAGAAGCCCCGGCUAACUUCGUGCCAGCAGUCGCGGUAAUACGAAGGGGGCUAGCGUUGCUCGGAAUUACUGGGCGUAAAGGGCGCGUAGGCGGACAGUUUAGUCAGAGGUGAAAGCCCAGGGCUCAACCUUGGAAUUGCCUUUGAUACUGGCUGUCUUGAGUACGGGAGAGGUGAGUGGAACUCCGAGUGUAGAGGUGAAAUUCGUAGAUAUUCGGAAGAACACCAGUGGCGAAGGCGACUCACUGGCCCGUUACUGACGCUGAGGCGCGAAAGCGUGGGGAGCAAACAGGAUUAGAUACCCCAGUAGUCC
RNAcentral lists this ribosomal RNA (425 nucleotides) under uncultured bacterium. RNAcentral describes it as "partial 16S ribosomal RNA". It matches the Rfam family "Bacterial small subunit ribosomal RNA", at positions 354 to 796 of the family's 1533-position model. The record is from RNAcentral.